UCCAGUUUCAACCAACAUCUGAUAAGCAUGUAUAUAUUGAUUUUUAUCCCAAAUUACGAGCUUGGUGUUGUCAAAACAAAUCCUGUGUUGCUUCAACAGUAUCUGGACUCUCUACUGGAAAUCCUGUUCAUCAGGUUGCUAACAAAAUUUUAAACAUGAUUUACUCAAAAAUGACUAAAACGGUGUCUUCUUCGGGGAAUUCGUCAACAUUAUCGGGCAA
This 220-nucleotide unclassified non-coding RNA is filed under the name Hevea brasiliensis (rubber tree). Lineage: Eukaryota; Viridiplantae; Streptophyta; Magnoliopsida; Malpighiales; Euphorbiaceae. The record is from RNAcentral.